GUGUCAGCAGCCGCGGUAAUACGUAGGGGGCGAGCGUUGUCCGGAAUCAUUGGGCGUAAAGCGCGUGUAGGCGGCUUGGUAAGUCUGGUGUGAAAUCUUGGGGCUCAACCCCAAGCCUGCACUGGAUACUGCCUCGCUAGAGUCCGGGAGGGGAGAUCGGAAUUCCUAGUGUAGCGGUGAAAUGCGCAGAUAUUAGGAAGAACACCGGUGGCGAAGGCGGAUCUCUGGAACGGUACUGACGCUGAGACGCGAAAGCGUGGGGAGCAAACAGGAUUAGAUACCCCAGUAGUCC
Molecule: ribosomal RNA, 292 nt
Filed under: uncultured bacterium
Lineage: Bacteria
Description: partial 16S ribosomal RNA
Rfam family: Bacterial small subunit ribosomal RNA
Source: RNAcentral